This 413-nucleotide ribosomal RNA is filed under the name uncultured bacterium. RNAcentral's name for it is "bacterial SSU rRNA". It matches the Rfam family "Bacterial small subunit ribosomal RNA", at positions 46 to 504 of the family's 1533-position model. The record is from RNAcentral.
GCUUACACAUGCAAGUCGCACGGNUCUUUCGGGAUUAGUGGCGGACGGGUGAGUAACNCGUAGGGAUCUAUCCAUGGGUGGGGGACAACUCCGGGAAACUGGAGCUAAUACCGCAUGAUACCUGAGGGUCAAAGGCGCAAGUCGCCUGUGGAGGAACCUGCGUUCGAUUAGCUAGUUGGUGGGGUAAAGGCCUACCAAGGCGAUGAUCGAUAGCUGGUUUGAGAGGAUGAUCAGCCACACUGGGACUGAGACACGGCCCAGACUCCUACGGGAGGCAGCAGUGGGGAAUAUUGGACAAUGGGGGCAACCCUGAUCCAGCAAUGCCGCGUGUGUGAAGAAGGUUUUCGGAUUGUAAAGCACUUUCGGCGGGGACGAUGAUGACGGUACCCGCAGAAGAAGCCCCGGCUAACUUC